GGUGACUGGAGCAUGAGGCAGCUAGUCACAUUGUGUCCUGAGCCAGGAAGUAGAGAUAUGAGUGAUACUCACCUGACAUCCUCUUUUCCUUUCUGUUCCUACUGGCGUCCCAGCCCACGGAAUGGUGCCACAGCAUCCCCACAGACACUCAGGGAGUGUCUUCUAGCAAAUGACUCAUGAAGUUGAUAGAAGAGGAAACCGAGUUCCAAGAGGUUGGCUGCAUUUGCCACCGCACAGAGGAAAUUGGCACUAAGAAGCUGUACUGACAGGAGAGAUUUUGGAAAAUGACUCAUUUGGAAUUUGUUGGAGGAGUUCAAAAUUGGUGAAACUUCAGCAUUUAGAAAGAAAAAAGAUGGUGUUUGGUCUUUGUGUGUGUCUGUGUGUAUACUUGUGUUGUGCAUGUGUGUGCAUGUGCACGUGGGUGCAUGAGGGUGUGUACAUGCUCAGCAACGCUUCAUAUGUACUUCAGUAUAUGAAAAGUAUCUCUGAAAGUGAGGGCACCAAGUGCCUUUGUCGGAGUCCAAUACAAGUCAUAUUUCUUGUAGGUUGCUAAAGCUUUUGUUGAAAGGGCAGAGCUGUGGAUUCCAGCAAAUAAAAAUCUACUAAUAAUUAUGACAAGAACAUACAAUAAUAUUCUUUCAGAUUACCUUUCUCCCUUGUACGAGAUCACAUGUGCAUCUCUAUCUUUCUGUAUCCUGACUGCAGUGGCCUUUCUACUUAAAAUAAACCACAAAAUAACAAAGUCAAUAGUUUUGAUCUUAGCUAACAGUUAAGUUGCCUUUACCGUGUAUUUUCCAUUGCCCUAAACCAUGAGAUAUAUUCAUUUAACUUAAUCCUCACUGAGAGGUAGAAGGUAUUGCUAUGAUACCCAUCUUACAGAUUGAGAAAAAAUGAUUUACCAAACACUCCACAGCUUGUCAUUAGAACAGGUUACCAACUGUUCAUGACUCUGUGAAGGCCAAGGGCAAUGGGAAGGGAGGAGUGAACACCAGAAUGUUUCUAAAGGAAGAGUCAGCUACCCUCAGAGCAUGGACAGCAGUGCAGAAUCUGAACAGAAAGGAGGUCAGUGACCCAGCAGCCCUCUCAUCUUAUUUUAGAAACGAGGAAACUGAGGUUUAGAGAGGCCAAAUGAUUUGUCGGAGGUCAUGUAAAGAAAUACUGAGAGCUGGGAGGAAAGUCAGAUUUCUCAUUCCUGUUCUGUUGUCAUCCCAGUGGGCUGAGGCCAAUCCUCUCUAAAGCUGCCAAUUCGAGCCAGGGCCCUCUAGAGGAAGGGAGCUAACAGACUGUGUGUGUAGUUAUAAAAGGGAACUGAUUGGGAUGCUAAUGUGACCAGUGGUGAAAAUAGUCUCACAAUGGCACCUGUAGACUGAAGAUUGAGAAAAAGCUUCAUCCAGGAAGCCAGAAGCCUCACAACAAGAGAGAACAAUGAUGUAGUUCCUAGCAUGAAACGCAAGGCCUGGAGAUCUCGCUGGACAGCCUCUGGAGCAAGUCCAUGUCUAAGGACUGAAGAGCCUGGAUCCUGAUGUUUACAGAUGAUGGCAACAGCAACAUUGACUCACGUAGAUUCCAACAUGUGCUAUCAUCUUUUUACUUUUGGUUGCACAUGAGCCUCUAGCUUACUCACAGUGGGCCAUGUGUCUUCCCCACUCAAUUAGGUGACCCACAUCAUCUCUGGAAACAGCAUGACAGACACACCAAGAGGUGUGCUUUGGCAAUUUUCUAUGUCUCUUUUAAUUCAAACAGUCAACAGUCCAGUUGACUAUUGCAAUGUUCUUGCUCUUUCAUUUUGGGUUUUCUAAACUCCUUUCUGUUCCUUUUCAUUGACUUGUAAGUUGGAGGUCCUCAUCUUCAAGUUCAAGUGUUAUUUAAGACCCCUCCUCCUUUGCCAGAUAUUACCUUCAGCCCAGCCUUCACAUACCUAUAAGAUUGCUUUUCUCACUGUGCAACUUGAUUAUUCCCACCUCUUCUGCCCAUGAGCCUCAGGGAUCCUCCAGAUCUUAGAGGAUGUAAAAGAGCUAGUGGGAGGAACUCACAGUUGUGCAUGUGAAUCCAGCUGCAUCAAUAUUGCUCAACCCUAGAACUUAAUAUAGUUAUUUUUUUUCCUAAAGGGAUUUCCAAACCCGUAGGAUGUAAGCCUGCUGGAAAGGUGAUGUUGAUGUAGGAAAAGAGGGCAUUCUCACUGAACACUGAACAGUUCGUGAUUUUACAGGUGUGGUGGUGUCUCUUCCAAAGCCAUGAGGAUGCUAGAGCCUAACACCACAUGCCUGUGCAGAGCCAUCCAGAACUCUUCCCUGAUUGCUCUCUGCAUUUUGGUGUUUGUCUAUAUUGCCUGCAUAUGAAUUUUUCCAUGUCUUGGUUCUUCCCAGUAGUUGGCCAGUAACUAUUUUUGGACUGUAUUAGCAACAUACACAAUUCAAGGACAAAGAAAUUGUCAUCCUCUUUGUUUGCUCCUGUCAUGCUGAGUUCAUUGGUAGAACCAUAAAGAAAGAUUGGGAAACGUUUUUGAGCCAAAUUAAAUAAAGAUAUACU
This is a long non-coding RNA of Mesocricetus auratus (golden hamster), 2529 nucleotides long. RefSeq lists it as uncharacterized. NCBI's taxonomy places the organism in Eukaryota, Metazoa, Chordata, Mammalia, Rodentia, Cricetidae. The record is from RefSeq and is a predicted model, not a curated record. The transcript is spliced from 4 exons.